CAAGUAAUAAGUACCCAGUACCUAUUAUAAACCCAUCUGUGUAUCUUACCCGUUGCUUCCGUGGAGCCGUCGGCAGCCAAGGCGCAAUCGUCGGCGGUCCCCCACGGGAGGUCCACACCAAAAACAUUGCAUUGCCAUGAUGUCUGUCUGAAAUGAAAACAACAAAAGUUA
This 171-nucleotide unclassified non-coding RNA is filed under the name uncultured Pyronemataceae. RNAcentral's name for it is "sequence contains ITS1". The record is from RNAcentral. Lineage: Eukaryota; Fungi; Ascomycota; Pezizomycetes; Pezizales; Pyronemataceae.